Oreochromis aureus is the source of this 954-nucleotide long non-coding RNA. RefSeq lists it as uncharacterized. The transcript is spliced from 2 exons. Lineage: Eukaryota; Metazoa; Chordata; Actinopteri; Cichliformes; Cichlidae. The record is from RefSeq and is a predicted model, not a curated record.
UGCAGCCCACCCAGAAAAGGAUGGAUGGAUUAAACGUUCCUGUUCUGAUGCUUUAAGUUUGAAGUUGGAGAUUUCGGAUGUGUUCACUUUUUCUGUCACAAACAUGGGCGUAGAUUCGGUUCGAGCAUGGAGGAGGGUCUGAAAGAUGCCACCAGGGAGUCGGAUGCUUCUUUCCUGUUUUUAUGAGCUGAUUUAUGGUGUAAAUGAAAUGAAGCGCACUGACAACAAGGACAGAUGUUGGAGUCGAUUUUCCCUCAAACAACACGAGCAAAGAGACACCUUCUGAUUUGCCAGUGCCUCAACAAAUUAGCAAUGCUAUGUGGCGGCGAAGCUAGGCGAGAUAAGCGUCACGCCACGGCGAGGACGGGACUUUGAUCCAGUCGGCCAUGUUGCCGGCUCUCCUCUGAGAUGCUUCCCAUUUAUCUGAUUACUCUCUGCUGCAUCUCGGAGCAGGAGAAGACAGUAAAUUAUAUGUUUCGGGGACGUUGGAGUGGCACCGGGACCUGGAUGAGAAGCAACAAAUUGGAUGUAGUGAAAGUCUGGGCGGAGGGCCAAGCUGUUCCUCGCAGCGGUGUCACCGAGACUGAGUGCGAGCCAUAUUUGAACUUCAUUUGGCGGCUAUGCAGAGUAGGACUUCUUCUCGUGUUUCUUCAUUCACAGCCGAUGAUUAAAACCGACGUUUAAUUGCCCGAGCGAACAUAAUACACUCUGCAGAAACAGGAAGUCCACUUCUGUUUAAACUUCAAGGCCACGACCUUAUAAACAGCAGUCAAUAAGAAUAAAAACAGUCUAUCAUCACCUCAGCGAACAUCCCAGAGCUGCCUACUACAUCCUGCAGGGGGCGCUGUGCAGACGAUUGUAGUUUUACAGAAAAAAGCUAAUCUGCAGAAUAUUUGUCAUCAAUAAUGGAUUCCUGUCAGCAACGUUAAAGUAACUAAUAAAUGAAUAAUAUCA